ACCCCUAUUGAUUUUGAGGUCACUAGGUCAAAGGUCAAGGUCACGGUGACCCGAAAUAGUAAAAUGGUUUCCGGAUGAUAACUCAAGAACGCAUACGCCUAGGAUCAUGAAACUUCAUGGGUAGAUUGAUCAUGACUCGCAGAUGACCCCUAUUGAUUUUGAGGUCACUAGGUCAAAGGUCAAGGUCAUGGUGACCCGAAGUAGUAAAAUGAUUUUCGGAUGAUAAUUCAAGAACGCAUAUGCCUAGGAUCAUGAAACUUUAUAGGUAGAUUGAUCAUGACUCGCAGAUGACCCCUAUAGAUUUUGAGGUCACUAGGUCAAAGGUCAAGGUCACGGUGACCCGAAAUAGUAAAAUGAUUUUUGGAUGAUAACUCAAGAACGCAUAUGCCUAG
Dreissena polymorpha is the source of this 392-nucleotide long non-coding RNA. RefSeq lists it as uncharacterized. The transcript is spliced from 2 exons. The record is from RefSeq and is a predicted model, not a curated record. Lineage: Eukaryota; Metazoa; Mollusca; Bivalvia; Myida; Dreissenidae.